Molecule: transfer RNA, 72 nt
Filed under: Cavia porcellus (domestic guinea pig)
Lineage: Eukaryota; Metazoa; Chordata; Mammalia; Rodentia; Caviidae
Rfam family: tRNA
About the family: Transfer RNA (tRNA) molecules are approximately 80 nucleotides in length. Their secondary structure includes four short double-helical elements and three loops (D, anti-codon, and T loops).
Source: Rfam by way of RNAcentral
UGGGAUGUAGCUCAGUGGUAUAGUCCUUGCCUACCAUGCAUGAGAUCCUGAGUUCAAAUCACAGUACUACAA